CCUCAAUCACUUAGAGUCAAUUUUGACUUUAGUGCUUAUUCCAAAGUGAUGGAGAUAGUUUUCUUUUGCAUAUGUUGCUCAUGAACUUGGAGAGAUCCCAAAAGCUCCUCAAUUGAGAUCUCCUUCAAAUUCUUUGACUCCUCAAUUGCUGCCACCACGUGCUCGAACUUUGAUGAGAGGGAGCAGAGUAACUUCUCCAUGACUGAUAUAUCUUCAAUCUAUUCUCCAUUUCUCCUCAUUUUAUUCAUGAUUAAUAUUAAUCAUGAAU
This 268-nucleotide long non-coding RNA is filed under the name Elaeis guineensis (African oil palm). RNAcentral describes it as "long non-coding RNA (EGUI_LNC040198)". The record is from RNAcentral. Lineage: Eukaryota; Viridiplantae; Streptophyta; Magnoliopsida; Arecales; Arecaceae.